CAAAAGUUUGGUCCUGACUUUCUUAUCUGCUCUAACUAGACAUAUACAUGCAAGUGUCCGCACCCCUGUGAGAAUGCCCCAACAGCGCUCUGCUCGAGAACAAGGAGCCGGUAUCAGGCGCCCUAUGCACGGAGCCAAUUACACCUUGCUUAGCCACACCCCCAAGGGAUUGCAGCAGUAAUAAACAUUAAGACAUGAGCGAAAGCUUGACUUAGUUAUAGUUACUAGGGCCGGUAAAUUCUCGUGCCAGCCACCGCGGUUAUACGGGAGACCCAAGUAGAUCGGCUCACGGCGUAAAGCGUGGUUAAGAAGCCCACUGCAAAUAAAGCUAAACACCCUCUCGGCUGUUACAUGCAUUUGAGGUCACAGAAACUCAACUACGAAAGUGGCUUUACUACCUUUCCUAUCCACGAAAGCUUUGAUACAAACUGGGAUUAGAUACCCCACUAUGCCUAGCCCUAAACAUAGAUAGCCAAUUCACAAACUCUAUCCGCCCGGGGACUACGAGCGCAAGCUUAGAACCCAAAGGACUUGGCGGUGCUUCAUAUCUCUCUAGAGGAGCCUGUCCUGGAACCGAUAAUCCCCGUUCAACCUCACCCCUCCUGGACCCUCCAGCCUAUAUACCGCCGUCGUAAGCUUACCCUGUGAAGGUCUGAUAGUAAGCCCGGUUAUUUAACUUCCUAACGUCAGGUCGAGGUGUAGCUUAUGAAGGGGAAUGAGAUGGGCUACAUUUACUAACUUUAGUAUACACGAAUGGCUUGUUUGAAAAUGGCAAGUCUGAAGGAGGAUUUAGUAGUAAGCUCAGGAGCAGUGCACCUGGCUGAAUUUUGGCUCUGAAGCAUGUACACACCGCCCGUCACUCUCUCCAAAAAUUUUUCCCCGUUCUAUUUAAUCUUCUACCACAAAUAAAGGGGAGGCAAGUCGUAACAUGGUAAGUGUACCGGAAGGUGCACUUGGAAUAU
This 962-nucleotide non-coding RNA is filed under the name Parapercis cylindrica (cylindrical sandperch). RNAcentral's name for it is "12S rRNA". It matches the Rfam family "Bacterial small subunit ribosomal RNA". The record is from RNAcentral. Lineage: Eukaryota; Metazoa; Chordata; Actinopteri; Uranoscopiformes; Pinguipedidae.